Oenanthe melanoleuca is the source of this 321-nucleotide long non-coding RNA. RefSeq lists it as uncharacterized. The record is from RefSeq and is a predicted model, not a curated record. Lineage: Eukaryota; Metazoa; Chordata; Aves; Passeriformes; Muscicapidae. The transcript is spliced from 3 exons.
UCUGCUGGAGUUCAGGAUGGAGGCUGCUGCCUCUGCUGAGGAAGGGACCUGUGUUUGUGCAAGGGACAGACAAGAUGAAGGGCAGAUGAAGAGCCUCUGUUCCAGGGAACUCAGAGCAGGGACACUGUCUUAAUUAUCUUGAAAAAAGAAAAAGCAGAGAGAAGUACAAAGAGAGUUUGAAGAGCCCUGUGGUCCCAAAGUGCUGCCUGCCCCUUCUUUUAGCAGCUUUCAAGAUACUCACCUUGUGCCACUUUGCAACUGGAUUUUGAAGAUGCCAAGGGCCAGGACACUCCUGUGACCCUCACUGACAGCUGGAUGGAC